RNAcentral lists this long non-coding RNA (1327 nucleotides) under Numida meleagris (helmeted guineafowl). RNAcentral's name for it is "lncRNA (ENSNMEG00000017878.1)". Lineage: Eukaryota; Metazoa; Chordata; Aves; Galliformes; Numididae. The record is from RNAcentral.
CAGUAAUACUUAAUGAGAGAACGAUUUGUAAGUGGUGUAAGUAACUUCUAGUUAUAACUGAUACGCUGAUAAGGUUGGAAUCAGAAGUAGUGAUUGUUACUGAAGAUGCCAAGAUGAUAUGUAUGGUAAAAAGGUAAUUAAGUAAAUCUUAUUUUUGUUUGGAAGUCUUAAGGAGUCAUAAGCAAUCUACUGCUCAUACUCCUCAAAACAAACAAAACCUAACUGUAGGGGAACUGGUAUGUCACUGCCUGAUGAUUGAGCACCUGGUGAAGGGAGUGGCUGGCCCAGGAGCAAACAAUUUACCUGUGCUUCCCACAUGAUUGGAAGGGGUGGACCCAGGGUCCCUGGCCUCAUUUAAAGGCUAUAGCCUCUGAAGGGGUAGUAUUUUGUGGAUGAAGGCUGCUUCUUGUGAAGGAGCAUUCUACUGUCAGAGACUCUCAUCACCAGCUGGGUGAGUCAACUUUCUCUUGUUUAUAAUUAUUGAUAUUCCUAAUUAUACUUCCCAUGGUAUCACAGAGAACUUGUCAGAAGCAGUUUCACUACUUCCUCUGACCAACACAAACCAAAAAUGUAAAAACAUCAAACAAAAAGACCCUUAUAAGGCCCUUAUUCUAAAGUAGCCCCUGAGGGUUAUAAGUUUGAAGAAGCAAAUGGUUUGGAUGUGAAUGCAACUGCCAGUAUCUUAUGAAAGCCUUCUGAAAAUGGUGUGUUGUUCUGCUAGAAUGUAUUCAUUGGAAGAGAAUACUUAUUGAAGAACAAGUGGAGAAAUUUUCACUAAUUCUGCUUUGGUCUAGAUCCAUGUUCCACUGGGAAGAGCAGGUGUUGGUAACUACAUAUGUUUUCAAGAAAUAUAUGCAAGAGCCAAGGAACAGCAAAGCAGAACUGUGGUGUUAAAGGUUUGCCAGUUCCCUCAUAGUCAUCUUUGUAAGAUAAGGAUUUCCAAGGCUGGUUCUUAGCACGUCUCUUGUCCUAAUUCAGCUUUAUCUGAAUACGGUUUUAACAGAAGGCCUCUUAUUCAACCCUAGUGAUAUUUCGCAAAGUAAAUUUGCUGUCAGGGCUGGAAUAUAAAGAAGAAAUCAGAAGUAAAAUCAACUUUACCCAAAAUAUAAAUACAGCUGGACUAAUCACUUCAGUGAUUCUAAGAUUGUAAGUAACAGAUGCAGAGCUUAAUUACAUAAAAUACUAGUCUAACAAGAUGAAAAACAGAUAAUGAAGCCCUUUCUAACUCAGCUGUAGAAGUCUUGUUCAGACUUCUACCAUGAAUUUCUUCCUUUGAUCUGGAAAUGAAAUGUUUCCUCCAAUUAAACACCCUAUUGUUUAAAAAUCC